GGGGUUGCUACAGACUUUUGAGAAAGAUCACUAGCUCCACAAAGAGACAGUGAAUCUAGUGGGAGGAUCUUCUUCGGGUAAUCAUCAUCCUUUUAUGAAAGAAAAAAAAAGAAGAAUAAGAAGAUGCCUGGUGCUGGGAGUCAGUCCCAGAAACUCAAGUUCAUGGCUGAUCAAAGUCAGGUAGAGUGCUUCUUUUGCAAGAAGCAGGUUCAAUGGAAGAGGUCCUCAGUAUCACUUCUCUUGACCUGA
RNAcentral lists this long non-coding RNA (249 nucleotides) under Elaeis guineensis (African oil palm). RNAcentral's name for it is "long non-coding RNA (EGUI_LNC060043)". Lineage: Eukaryota; Viridiplantae; Streptophyta; Magnoliopsida; Arecales; Arecaceae. The record is from RNAcentral.